Molecule: ribosomal RNA, 478 nt
Filed under: uncultured bacterium
Lineage: Bacteria
Description: partial 16S ribosomal RNA
Rfam family: Bacterial small subunit ribosomal RNA
Source: RNAcentral
GACGAACGCUGGCGGCGUGCUUAACACAUGCAAGUCGAGCGAAGAAGCUCCUUCGGGAGUGGAUUAGCGGCGGACGGGUGAGUAACACGUGGGUAACCUGCCUCAUAGAGGGGAAUAGCCUUCCGAAAGGAAGAUUAAUACCGCAUAAGAUUGUAGUACCGCAUGGUAUAGCAAUUAAAGGAGCAAUCCGCUAUGAGAUGGACCCGCGUCGCAUUAGCUAGUUGGUGAGGUAACGGCUCACCAAGGCGACGAUGCGUAGCCGACCUGAGAGGGUGAUCGGCCACAUUGGGACUGAGACACGGCCCAGACUCCUACGGGAGGCAGCAGUGGGGAAUAUUGCACAAUGGGGGAAACCCUGAUGCAGCAACGCCGCGUGAGUGAUGACGGUCUUCGGAUUGUAAAGCUCUGUCUUCAGGGACGAUAAUGACGGUACCUGAGGAGGAAGCCACGGCUAACUACGUGCCAGCAGCCGCCGUAA